AUACUUACCUGGCGUAGGGAUACCGUGAUCAUGCAGGCGGUUCCCCCAGGGUGAGGCUGCUCCAUUGCACUGCAGAGUGGUUGGUGGUUGACCCUUGCGAUUAUUCUAAUUUUUUGUAUAAAUUUCACUUCUACCGUGUGUGACUUGCACACACA
RNAcentral lists this small nuclear RNA (155 nucleotides) under Bombyx mandarina (wild silkworm). RNAcentral describes it as "U1 spliceosomal RNA". The record is from RNAcentral. Lineage: Eukaryota; Metazoa; Arthropoda; Insecta; Lepidoptera; Bombycidae.